RNAcentral lists this ribosomal RNA (1001 nucleotides) under Mononchus sp. 1 HMM2018. RNAcentral's name for it is "eukaryotic LSU rRNA". It matches the Rfam family "Eukaryotic large subunit ribosomal RNA", at positions 87 to 918 of the family's 3401-position model. The record is from RNAcentral. Lineage: Eukaryota; Metazoa; Nematoda; Enoplea; Mononchida; Mononchidae.
CGGCGAGUGAAACAGGAAAAGCCCAUCGCUGAAUCCCUAAGCUUUUGCUCUGGGACCUGUAGCGUUAAUGAAAGUCGCUCUGCUGGCGUUAUUAUCGUAAGCUCCCUUGAUUGGGACCCCAUAGAGGGUGGAAGGCCCGUAACGAUAUGUUAGUCAGUGGUAUGAUUUUCAAAAGAGUCGGGUUGCUUGAGAGUGCAGCCCAAAGACGGUGGUAAACUCCAUCUAAGGCUAAAUAUGACCACAAGACCGAUAGCGAACAAGUACCGCGAGGGAAAGUUGAAAAGAACUUUGAAGAGAGAGUUCAAAAGGGCGUGAAACCGUUUAGAAGUAAACGGAUAAAGCCGCAAGGUAGUUGCAAAAAUCAGCCAGGCAAAAGGGUGAACAAUGGUCGGUCGAUUGAUAAAACGACUGGCUGUGUUAGUAGCCUCUGUCUGGUGCACUUUUUGCGACGAAGCAUCGCGACCAAGGUGAAUUCUGACGAAAGGGCAAGCUUGAAGACAGAGCCGAGUGUUCUGUGCCUAGGUUUCCUGGAAGUCAGUAAACAACUUUGGUUUCCCUAGCAGUGGCCGUAAGGGGUGGUGAAAUCUAUUGGCUGGCUUGGUCGAAAUGUCUGAUUCUGCUUGCAGGCUCGGGCGACACCUAGGUCGGUUGGUGGGUGGAUCUACUAUCUGCGAAGGCUCGGCGAUGUCAGUGGCGGCGACUUAUCCGACCCGUCUUGAAACACGGACCAAGGAGUCUAACAUGUGCGCGAGUUAUUGAGUGGUAAACUCAAAGGCGAAAUAAAAGUAAAGACGGCGUAAGCUGGCUUAAAUAUGAUCCCUGACUUCGGUCGGGGCGGAGUAUUGUCCCAUCUAUGAGGUUCGUCCUCUGGGUGGCGAAAGAGCGUAAAUGUUGGGACCCGAAAGAUGGUGAACUAUGCCUGAGCAGAACGAAGCCAGAGGAGACUCUGGUGGAGGUUCGUAGCGGUUCUGACGUGCAAAUCGAUCGUCAGACUUGGGUAU